UACGUAGGGCGCAAGCGUUGUCCGGAAUCAUUGGGCGUAAAGAGCUCGUAGGCGGCCUGUCGCGUCCGCUGUGAAAUCCCGGGGCUUAACCCCGGGCGUGCAGUGGAUACGGGCUGGCUGGAGGCAGGCAGGGGAGAACGGAAUUCCCGGUGUAGCGGUGAAAUGCGCAGAUAUCGGGAGGAACGACCGGUGGCCGAAGGCGGUUCUCUGGGCCUG
Molecule: ribosomal RNA, 216 nt
Filed under: uncultured bacterium
Lineage: Bacteria
Description: partial 16S ribosomal RNA
Rfam family: Bacterial small subunit ribosomal RNA
Source: RNAcentral